Long non-coding RNA from Oncorhynchus tshawytscha (Chinook salmon), 797 nucleotides. NCBI's taxonomy places the organism in Eukaryota, Metazoa, Chordata, Actinopteri, Salmoniformes, Salmonidae. The record is from Ensembl.
GCCAUCUUGAACGAGGGUCAUUUGUAGUGUACUGUUAGAUAGAGGCUCGUGACCAGAAAGCAUGCUACAGUUUGUUUUCUUCCUGUAUUGAACACAGAUAAUCCCGUCCCAUUGAGCAAUUCGGAACCGAUGUGUCUUUCUGGAUCAAACGCGCCAAAUAAAUGGACAUUGUGGAUAUAUAUUGACGGAAUUAAUCGAACAAAAGGACCAUUUGUGAUGUUUAUGGGACAUAUUGGAGUGCCAACAAAAGAAGCUCGUCAAAGGCCGGUGGCUCCUGGUCCCCUGGUUGAUGUUGUCCCCCACUCCACCCCUCUGCUUCCCUUGGAUAUCGAGGGGAGUCCUGCCUAUGCAGUCAGAUCACUCCUGGACUCCCGACAUCGUGGAGCUCCAUUUCCUGGGAGGGAUACAGCCCAGAGGAGCGGUGCUGGGUUCCGGUGGACAACAUUCUAGAUCUUAACAUUAUCCGAGAGUCCCACCUUCGCCUUCUGGACCGGCCCUCUCCACGUCCUUGGGACCGUCCUCCUGGCAAGUGUCGUCCUGCGGCUGGACCCGCGCGUACGAGGGGGGGGUACUCUCACGUCUGCUCCCGCUCUCCCACUCCGGUGUUCGACGUCACCAGUCUGCUAACCAACCCAUCAUUACACACACCUGGACUUCAUCACUUCCCUGAUUUCUCCCUCUUUAUCUACAACUGUAUUCAACCCCUCAAUCAGUAUUGGUUAUGUUUUCCUUGUCAGACGUUUCUCUUGCUUUUGCAAUCGUUCUCUGUUCAUGAAUAUUAAACUCACUAAUUGCAC